RNAcentral lists this transfer RNA (70 nucleotides) under Stylephorus chordatus (tube-eye). Its description in RNAcentral is "tRNA-Arg". It matches the Rfam family "tRNA". From Rfam's summary of the family: Transfer RNA (tRNA) molecules are approximately 80 nucleotides in length. Their secondary structure includes four short double-helical elements and three loops (D, anti-codon, and T loops). The record is from RNAcentral. Lineage: Eukaryota; Metazoa; Chordata; Actinopteri; Stylephoriformes; Stylephoridae.
AGGUGGUUAGUAUAGCUUAAAAUACUUGAUUUCGGCUCAAGAGUCUGUGGUGAAACUCCACAACCCCCUA